Molecule: ribosomal RNA, 527 nt
Filed under: uncultured bacterium
Lineage: Bacteria
Description: bacterial SSU rRNA
Rfam family: Bacterial small subunit ribosomal RNA
Source: RNAcentral
GAUGAACGCUGGCGGCGUGCCUAAUACAUGCAAGUCGAACGGACCACUUCGGUGGUUAGUGGCGAACGGGUGAGUAACACGUAGGUAACAUGCCGAUAUGUCGUGGAUAACGGUUGGAAACGACUGCUAAUACAGGAUAGGAAUGUUGAAGGCAUCUUUGGCAUUUUAAAGGAGAGAUCCGCGUAUCGAGUGACCUGCGGCGCAUUAGCUAGUUGGUGAGAUAGAAGCCCACCAAGGCAAUGAUGCGUAGCCGGACUGAGGGGUUGAACGGCCACAUUGGGACUGAGACACGGCCCAGACUCCUACGGGAGGCAGCAGUAGGGAAUUUUCGGCAAUGGGGGGAACCCUGACCCGAGCAACGCCGCGUGAAUGAUGAAGUACUUCGGUAUGUAAAGUUCUUUUAUUGGUGAAAACGACGCUUUGAUGCGUGUGACGGUAGCUAAUGAAUAAGCCCCGGCUAACUAUGUGCCAGCAGCCGCGGUAUACAUAGGGGGCAAGCGUUAUCCGGAAUUAUUGGGCGUAAAGGG